GAUGAACGCUGGCGGCGUGCCUAAUACAUGCAAGUCGAGCGAACGGACGAGAAGCUUGCUUCCAUGAUGUUAGCGGCGGACGGGUGAGUAACACGUGGAUAACCUACCUAUACGAAUGGGGUAACUUUGGGAAACCGGAUCUUAUACCGGAUAAUAUUUUGAACCUCAUGGUUCAAAAGUGGAAGAAGGUCUUGCUGUCACUUAUAGAUGGCUCCGCGCUGCAUUAGCUAGUUGGUAAAGUAACGGCUUACCAAGGCAGCGAUGCAUAGCCGACCUGAGAGGGCGAUCGACCACACGUGAACUGAGACACGGACCCGAACCCGACGUGAGGCACGAGCAGGGAUUCUUCCGCAAGGAGCGAAAGCGUGACGUGGCAACGCCGCGAGAGUGAUGAAGGGCAUCGGAUCGUAAAACACUGUGAUUAGGGAAGAACAAAUGUGUAAGUAACGGUGCAAAUCUGGACGGUACCUAAUCAUAAAGCCCCGCCUACCUACUG
Molecule: ribosomal RNA, 496 nt
Filed under: uncultured bacterium
Lineage: Bacteria
Description: partial 16S ribosomal RNA
Rfam family: Bacterial small subunit ribosomal RNA
Source: RNAcentral